This is a long non-coding RNA of Mus musculus (house mouse), 4266 nucleotides long. RefSeq lists it as uncharacterized. Lineage: Eukaryota; Metazoa; Chordata; Mammalia; Rodentia; Muridae. The record is from RefSeq and is a predicted model, not a curated record. The transcript is spliced from 3 exons.
AGGUCUCAUGUGAAGGGCUUUGACCCAUUCAGAAUUGUUUUAUUGGGCAAAGUAAUCGGUAAGGAUGAUCUUUGACUGUUCUACAUACAAAUAUCCAUUUUCCUCAGCACCACCUGUUAAAGACACUCUCUCUUUUUAGUGUGUGUAUUUGUCAAAAAUCAGAUGGUCAUAGAUGGGUGGCCAUAACAUCUGGGCUUUCAUUGAUUUCAUUGAUCCAUGUGUCUGUUUUUAUGCCAGCAUCGUGCUGUUUUUAUCACAAUGGCUUGAAUUACAACUCGACAGAAGAUGAUAUCUAGCAUCAUUUUUCAUAUACAGUAUGUUUAUAUACAAUAUGUAUGGUGUGGGCACAUGUGCAUGUGUAGCGUGGUGCACACAUUGAAGAAGCUCAGAGUUGGUUUUCUCCUUCCAACAUGUAGAUUCUGGGGCCUGAACUCAGGUUGUUUGGCUUGGUAGCAAACACCCUUACCCAUUGAUCAACCUCACUGUUCUUGAGACAGACUGACAAAAACAAAACAACAAAAAUCAAAACAACAAAAAUGUAUGAUAAAUAAAUACAUAUCCCCCCAUAACGAUUAAUUCCUGAUUUAAUUUAACUUUAGGUCAAUUCCAAAACUGCAUGUGACUGUCACUCCAAGGCAAGCCGCCACGGAGCACAGUGUAAUGUUGGAAAAAGAGCAAAAAGGUUUUGCAUUUUAUAAUGUUGCGCUGACCACUUGGCUUGGGUGCUUAAGGGUUUGGAAGGAGCUGUGCUAGGUAGAGAUGGACCUUGAAGCUUAAUUUGGCUUUACCACAAGGGGGCUUGUAUUCUGGUUAUCUCCUCAGUUCCAGCUCUCAGUGGCCCAGGAGUCUAAACUCUUUUCCUGGGCAGAGUCUCCAGGUCCAUGCCACCACCACCCAAGGCUGCACACACUUACUAGGCUCUUGGUGAGGUGUUGAAAUAUUGCUCGGCUUUGGUGCUGGAUCUGCACCAGCACUUUGCCUGGCUCUGCUAUUCUUCGGACCCUUUACUCCUUGUUCACAUCUCCUUCAGAGCCAGGACAAGUGUCAUUUCCUCUGCCAGACCUUUGUAACUCACUGGCCGAAUACCUGCAGCCACAGCUCACCCCCCCUUUUUUUGUAUUUGUUUUGCUGUUGUUGUUUGUUUUGUUUUGUUUUUGAGACAUGGUCUCUCAGUGUAACCCUGGCUGUUCUGAAAUUCACUCUGUAGACUAGAUUGGCCUCAAACUCACAGAGAUCUGCCUGCCUCUGCCUUUCAAGUGGUAGGAUUAAAGGCUCUGUUUUGCUUUUUGAGAAAGGGUCUCAGUAGCCUUAAGUGACCUGGAACUUGCUUUGUAGACCGGGUGUGGGCUAUCAUGCCUACAGUCUAAAUAGUGCCAUGUUUUGCAUUUGUCUCACACACUACCAUCAAAAGCCCCAAAGGGCAGAAAGUUAUUUAUUCUUCCAAGUGCCUGUGGCAGUGCCUGACACCUAGUAGUGACUAUGGCAUGGACAUCUUCACGGAUGGAUUCUUUGUGUUCCUGCCAGAGUGCUGUCUCCCGGCUAUUUGCUUGGCUCAUGAAACUGGGCGUGGUGUUUCAUGCUUGCAGUCCCAGCUGGAUCAUUGAAAGUUCCAGGCCAGUUUGUGCUAGAGAGUGAGAGCUUGUUUCAAAACACAAACGAAACAAACUAGGCAUGGUGGCACAUGCCUGUAACCCCAGUUUGUAAUCCCACAUUUGGGAGGUUGCAGCAGGAGGAUUGCUAUGAGUUUGAGUCCAGCUUGAACUACAGAAUGAGACCUAGUCUUUCAAACAAACAAACAAACAAUAAAACAAAGAGUUGGGGAUUUAGCUCAGUGGUAGAGCCUUGGUAAUGGUUCAGCCCUUCGCACCAGAAAGCAAAAUAAAACAAAACCCUACUUCAUUAAGAGUUCUGUAUUUGGGAUGUCAACACAACAUUUCUGAGGUAUCAUGCAGUGUAUGGAUAAAUAAUAAAUACUCAUACUCAACCUGACCCUUCUAGCAGUAAGAGAACAUCUAAGGUGUUGGUCACUCACUAUCCAAGACUUGGUGAGGGCUCAUUUGGGCUAGGAGUUAGUUUCCUUUUUAAACGUGCUCUAAGAGACCCAAGGCUCAUAGAGUAGUCAGGUCUGUAAUCCCAAUCACUUGAAAGGCUGAGGCAGAAGGAUCAGAAUUCAAGGCCAGCAUGUACAACUGAGUGAGAUCCUGUCUCACUGGUCCAGUGAUUACACUUACCCGGUGAGUGUGAGAUUCUAAGUUUAAUCCCCAGCACUGAAAAACAAAAACCAAAAUCCAAAAAACCCAAACAUAGCAAUCCUGUGAAGUGGUUCUAUCAUUCUCUCCCCUUUUAUCAUCAUCAUCGUCUUUUUAUUUUAUUUUUUAAGGAACCUAGCAGGAGGCUGGUCUCCAAGGAAGUUGGACCCAGGGGUGUGAGCAUGCAGCAUUGCCUGCGGGCGGCUGAUGCAACGCCCCCUCUUGGCCGUAGAACGCGUCGCUCUAGGUCGCUGAGGUUGCUGCGCAGCAGCACCUCGUCCCAUAGAGGUUGUCCACGUCCGAACACCAGGGGGCGCGAGCAACCUAGCUUUCGGGACUAGGGCGAGGCUGCCAGCCUGAAGAAGCCUGCUUGGCAUUUGUGCCCAAGGGUGGCGUCAGAACCAGCGUCUUUUAAUCCAGACAUGCAAGUUAAUCUUCCCUACCCUGCAACUCCGAUGGUCAAGGGCAGAUAACCUAGCUGCUGUAUGCUAGGCAGAGAACCCCACGGGAAGAAGGCAAGCUACCAUUACAUGCCGAUAGACUAGCCCAGGUUGUCAUUUAGCAGGGUUCCAUACAGAAUGACAUUAUUGUUCUUAAUGUCUCUUUGGUCCAAAUUCCUUUUGCUUCCCCUUGCUGUAUACAGUGCAGCUAUACCCCAUCUAUGCAAACCAAGACCUCUUUCCCUUCUGUCUGCGUGUAUUAUUUGUCUUAAGUCUCUAAGCUCUCUGAUCCUGCUCUCCUCUUAGGCUCUUGGACAGCCCCCACCCCAACUUAUCUGAGACACCUACUAUGUCUUAAGACAUGCAUUAUUGUGAGAUGUCACUUAUGUGAGACUCAUCUCCCUAUCAAUGUGUAAACUACAGCACUUAAUAACUAUAUGCUCAAUAAAUUAAGAGGCAGAUACAAAGUGGUGUGUGUGCGUGUGUGUGUGUGUGUGUGUGUGUGCGUGUGUGCGCGCGCGCGCGUGCAUCCAUAUUUCUAGAUCCAGCUCAGGGUUACAUAAGAGCCACCAGCAACAAACAACUGGUUUUCAUCUGUAUUUAUUUCCUUUUAAUACAGUAUCUUGCUAUGUAACCCAGGCUGUCCUUCAACUUGGGAUCAUAGACUUUUAUGCUGGCACACCAACAAGUCUCUAUUGGAUAUGCAAAUGAGGACCCACUAAUGUAUCAUUCCUAUUUUGUUCUGUGUCCUAUAUGUCUACAGCCAGCUGGGAUUACCCAACUCCCAGAAAGGAAGAGUGAGGAAUGUGGACUGAUGUGGGUGCUGGGGAGUUGUUGGUGGGGGCUGGGAGGCAUGAGGAGGCCCGGGGCAGGGAGCAGAGCUUUCCCAUGGUGAGAAUAAGGCCCACAUAGAGAAUGAGGGAGGGAGAGUUGCCAAGAUCUGAGUUAUAGCAGAAGGAAGCUGAGCCCUGAAUGGGAGCCUUGUGUGUGGCCCUGUGCUGCUGACUCACCAGGCUGAGGAGAGCGAAAACAUGCUAGGGAUGAAGAAGGGGCCUGUUUAUGCCCUGCCACCACCUCCAAACCGCCCUGCCACCCCAGAUUGCUUUGGUCAGGGGCUUCCUGAGGACACCAGCUGCCCCGAGGAGACCGACCCAGAGGUUUCCGAAGUGUCUCUCAUUUGAUUCCAUUAAAAGCAACCAGAAUCAGAAGUUCCCAUGGCCGAUGCUUGAGGGUGGAUUUGAAUGGAGACGUGACUUCACUACUCAAGAAGUGAUGCAGGAAACGGAGAAUGACUUAAGUUUUCAAAAGCACAAGAAAAUCAGCACCCCAACUGCUAAGUGUUCUGGAGGGUUUCUUGAGGGCUUUACAGAGCUCAGCCUGACAGAGUUCCCGCCCUUCAGAAGGAUUUCCACUCUACUUAUGCAAACCUCGGUUCAGAACACAAAGCUGGCAUUAAACAGUCAGAGAGGAUUAAAAGCAGUGUUGGUUUUUUGACAUUCAGAUUCACAGAGGAUCUCAUUUGCUGCAAGAAAUGCUCUGUCUUUUGUUUCUGCCGCAGAAUCACAUUCCCGUGGCAG